CCCGAGGAAAAGAAAUCAACCGAGAUUCCCCCAGUAGCGGCGAGCGAACGGGGAGCAGCCCAGAGCCUGAAUCAGUGUGUGUGUUAGUGGAAGCGUCUGGAAAGGCGCGCGAUACAGGGUGACAGCCCCGUACACAAAAAUGCACAUGCUGUGAGCUCGAUGAGUAGGGCGGGACACGUGGUAUCCUGUCUGAAUAUGGGGGGACCAUCCUCCAAGGCUAAAUACUCCUGACUGACCGAUAGUGAACCAGUACCGUGAGGGAAAGGCGAAAAGAACCCCGGCGAGGGGAGUGAAAAAGAACCUGAAACCGUGUACGUACAAGCAGUGGGAGCACGCUUCGGCGUGUGACUGCGUACCUUUUGUAUAAUGGGUCAGCGACUUAUAUUCUGUAGCAAGGUUAACCGAAUAGGGGAGCCGAAGGGAAACCGAGUCUUAACUGGGCGUUAAGUUGCAGGGUAUAGACCCGAAACCCGGUGAUCUAGCCAUGGGCAGGUUGAAGGUUGGGUAACACUAACUGGAGGACCGAACCGACUAAUGUUGAAAAAUUAGCGGAUGACUUGUGGCUGGGGGUGAAAGGCCAAUCAAACCGGGAGAUAGCUGGUUCUCCCCGAAAGCUAUUUAGGUAGCGCCUCGUGAAUUCAUCUCCGGGGGUAGAGCACUGUUUCGGCAAGGGGGUCAUCCCGACUUACCAACCCGAUGCAAACUGCGAAUACCGGAGAAUGUUAUCACGGGAGACACACGGCGGGUGCUAACGUCCGUCGUGAAGAGGGAAACAACCCAGACCGCCAGCUAAGGUCCCAAAGUCAUGGUUAAGUGGGAAACGAUGUGGGAAGGCCCAGACAGCCAGGAUGUUGGCUUAGAAGCAGCCAUCAUUUAAAGAAAGCGUAAUAGCUCACUGGUCGAGUCGGCCUGCGCGGAAGAUGUAACGGGGCUAAACCAUGCACCGAAGCUGCGGCAGCGACGCUUAUGCGUUGUUGGGUAGGGGAGCGUUCUGUAAGCCUGUGAAGGUGUGCUGUGAGGCAUGCUGGAGGUAUCAGAAGUGCGAAUGCUGACAUAAGUAACGAUAAAGCGGGUGAAAAGCCCGCUCGCCGGAAGACCAAGGGUUCCUGUCCAACGUUAAUCGGGGCAGGGUGAGUCGACCCCUAAGGCGAGGCCGAAAGGCGUAGUCGAUGGGAAACAGGUUAAUAUUCCUGUACUUGGUGUUACUGCGAAGGGGGGACGGAGAAGGCUAUGUUGGCCGGGCGACGGUUGUCCCGGUUUAAGCGUGUAGGCUGGUUUUCCAGGCAAAUCCGGAAAAUC
Molecule: ribosomal RNA, 1299 nt
Filed under: Escherichia coli
Lineage: Bacteria; Pseudomonadati; Pseudomonadota; Gammaproteobacteria; Enterobacterales; Enterobacteriaceae
Description: partial 23S ribosomal RNA
Rfam family: Bacterial large subunit ribosomal RNA
Source: RNAcentral